This 67-nucleotide transfer RNA is filed under the name Sphenomorphus melanopogon. Its description in RNAcentral is "tRNA-His". It matches the Rfam family "tRNA". Rfam says of the family: Transfer RNA (tRNA) molecules are approximately 80 nucleotides in length. Their secondary structure includes four short double-helical elements and three loops (D, anti-codon, and T loops). Lineage: Eukaryota; Metazoa; Chordata; Lepidosauria; Squamata; Scincidae. The record is from RNAcentral.
GUUAAUAUAGUUUAACAAAAACAUUAGGUUGUGGUCCUAAAAAUAGAAGUUUAACUCUUCUUGUUCA